AAGACAGAAAGAUAGAUUUUAAGUGAUUAUAAGUAAUAAGCGCACUGAUCCCAGUUGGUUACCUACGAAAUAAAAAAUAAAAUCACAAUCUGGGUUCUAUAAACUAGAGAGGAUUUGAAUCAAGCCGUAUCUCACCCUGAUGACGUAGUUCCUUCAUACACAGGCAGGGAUUCCUCUUUCCAGCCUGGGACCACCUCCCCAGGUCAGUCUUUGUCCUCCAGAUGUGUUUCCAGGUGUUGAGUUGUGGGGGGAAAGUGAGGCCAAGUGAUGAUGUCAGUUCCUCUCUUUGAUAGGUUCCUCCAGCUUGCUGGAAAGACCCUUUGCUAUGAGGUGAGUCAAGCGGCCUCCAUUGUCUCCAUGCUCUCUCUGAGAGGUCUCCAUUGUAUGCAGUUCCUGGGGUCGUCCUUGUGCGGAACAGACUCAUCAGAGCUGGAGAGGAAAGUGUCACAGAAGUGGAAGGGGAAUAUGCAUGGAGCCCAAACAGUGUGAUCAUGCAGCGUUUAUAUCCCAGUUUCCAAAGCCACUGCUUGGCUUUUUCCUGCCGAGUUGGGAUGGCUUGAAGAUGGGAAGUUUGGCUGAUUUUUUUUCUCCUAUUAUGACGAUGCUAAAACUUUAAUAAAUAACACACCUCCAUAUUUCCGAGACAACGCUGAGUGAAGCGGCUUUGAACGGGUGAGAGAAGAACUCAAUGGGAGAAUCUUUUGUCCUGAUUCUGAGUCGUCAGAUGUAACCUGAUAUGAAAUGUCACCCUCUAUGAAACAGAAAGGGUCUUACACUGAUCCGAGACGUGGCUUUUUCUCUCUUUUCUGAAGGCUUUUUGGUCACACAACUGGAUAUUAGUUUUGUUUGACCGAAUAUAGCUCAGAUUUUUUUGGGGGGGGCUUUGAGACAGAUGGCCAUUUGCUAAAAUAAUCAUUUCUGACUAUAUUUUUGCUUUCCCACCAACCCUCCAUGAUCACAGGGAAGAGGUUUAAGUGCAGUUCAGUCAACAGCAGCGAAUGCUCCAAACUAUUUAACCUGCUACCUAGGAAACAGUCGUGUUUUUAAAUCUCCAGCCUGAAAUGGCGAAAAACAGCAUAUCCCAAACUGUGCAAUUAACUGGAUACGAUCACAGUGUUUUUCAGUUGUUUUAGAUCAGUUAUGACUCAGAUGAUCCAUAAAGAGAAUUCCACAGGAACUGACUUGCAACUAGGCAAAAUCCACAUGUAUUUAGGUCCCAAAGCCUUUGUGACCCAGGUCCUACAGGAGGUUACUGCUGAAGAUGUCUUCUGGCUAGUCCUAGUAUCUGGGAAAUGGUGCCCCGAACUAUGCCGCUGUGGAGGAAAUGGAAGUGAGGUUCCUGCUGAGCUCAUAUUUUGUAGCUGCUGCUCAUGCAUAUUAAAUUCAUUUAGUGUUGAAUGUGAGAUGGCUGUAGAAAAAUAACAAUUUUUGAACAUCAAACCCCACCUCGGGUAACUGACAGAGAUUCUGAUCCAGGCUGUUAUCCGGACCCGAAAUUAGGUUUGUCUCACCAGAUUAAAGAAAGAAACGGGGCUUGUUUGGGGUCCCCAUUCUGCAUGAAUGCGGCUGAGAUUUGCCCCAGAGAAGAGCAAAUUUGCUCAGGCCCAGGAUUUGGCAAGAACUCAGGUAGAAAUAGCAGACCCCCAGUUGCUGUUUUUCACCCCAGGGACGGAAGCUGUUGUGAGUUAUCGCUAGAUCAAAACGUGUUUAGAACACCACUUGAGGAGAGGUGAAUACUUCACUUGGAGUGCUACUGUCCAAAAUCUCAGCCAGGGUUUCUUCUGCCUUAUUCCUAUUGUUACUAAUCUCAGCUGAAUGUGAAUCUUUCCUUUUCAACAGUUGCUUUAGCUGCAAAUGUAAUGGCGGUAUAUAUGCAUGAAAUAUUGGAGUGCGUUUCUUAAUUAAAUCUUGAUUAUCUGGGUUACUAAGGA
Terrapene triunguis (Three-toed box turtle) is the source of this 1931-nucleotide long non-coding RNA. RefSeq lists it as uncharacterized. NCBI's taxonomy places the organism in Eukaryota, Metazoa, Chordata, Testudines, Emydidae. The record is from RefSeq and is a predicted model, not a curated record. The transcript is spliced from 2 exons.